Molecule: long non-coding RNA, 2195 nt
Filed under: Macaca fascicularis (crab-eating macaque)
Lineage: Eukaryota; Metazoa; Chordata; Mammalia; Primates; Cercopithecidae
Description: lncRNA (ENSMFAG00000047937.1)
Source: RNAcentral
AUGAUUCUCCUGCCUCAGCCUCCUGAGUAGCUGGGAUUACAGGUGUGUGCCACCACGCCUAGCUAAUUUUUUGUAUCUUUAGUAGAGAUGGGGUUUCACCAUGUUGGCCAGGCUGGUCUCGAUCUCUUGACCUCGUAAUUCGCCCACCUAGGCCUCCCAAAGUGCUGGGAUUACAGGCAUGAGCCACCACGCCCAGCCGAUUAGUACUGUUUUAUGCAGUCAAUAUUUGUGCACAUUUGUCUGCAUAUUUACCGCUUUCUCUGCUCCCUAUUCUUUUUGUGACCUCUGACCUUCUAUCUGGAUCGGGUCCCUUCCACCUCAAGUACCUGUGUUAGAGUUUUCUUUAGUGAAGGUUUGCUGGUGGUGAACUUUCUCAGUUUUUAUUUGCCACAAAGUGUCUGUAUUUUGCCUUCAUUAUUGAAAACAGGAUUCCCAGGAUUCUAGUCCCAGCUCUCUCAUCAUAGCUGCUGUGUGACUAUAGCCUAGUCCUGUCUUUUUGGAACUCAAGUUCCCCAGGGGUGAACCAAGAGGAAGGGCUAAUCAUCUCCCCUCCUGCCACCAGCUCAUGUGACCAAGUCCCAGUGUUGUGUCUGUACGGGGAAGUUUGUUAUCAGAGUUGCUGAAGUUACUCAAGGCCCCUGAAGAGCUGGGUGAUAGAGAGUGAGCUGAUGAGAUGAAGCUGCCUCCCCAGAAGCCACAGUCUUCAGAAUCUACUGCCUCUAAAGUUACCACAGCCAUAGCACCUAGAUGUCAGAGAAGAACACAGGAAGAAAAACCCAGAGGUACUUGUCAAUUUCACAGAAAUUUCCAAGAAGUGCUCUGAGAGGUGGAAGGCAAUGUGUGGAAAAGAGAAGUCUAAGCCUGAUGAAAUGACUGAGGUGGUUGAAGUACUCUAUGAUUGAGAAACAAAGGAUUACAGACCAGCUAAGGGAGGCAAGAAGAGGACUCUAAAGCCCCCAAAAGGCUACCAUCUGGAUUCUUCCUGUUCUGUUCAGUAUUCCACCCCAAGGACAAAUCCACAAACCCUGGCAUCUCUAUUGGAGAUGUGGCAAAAAAGCUGAGUGAGAUAUGGAACAACUUGAGUGACAGUGCAAAGCAGCCUGACAUCACUAAGGCAGUGAACUGAAGAAGUGUGAGAAGGGUGUCACUGACUCUAAGUCUCAAGGAAAGUUUGAUGGCGCCAAAGUUAAAAUUGCCUGAAAAAGGUAGACGAGGAAGAGGAUGAAUUAAAAAACCUGUUUAUCCAUCUCCUUGUCAAUAUCUUAGAGCAGAGGAAUGUCAGAAUUCAGGAGUCCCCAACCCCUGGUCCAUGGACCAGUACUCACCUGUGGCCUGUUAGGAACCAGGCAUCACAGCAGGAGGUGAGCGGUGGGUGAGCAAGUAUUACCACCUGAGCCUCCUGUUGGAUCAGCGGUGGCAUUAGAUUCUCAUGGGAGCCUGAACCCUGUUGUAAACUGCGUGUGAGCGGGAUAUAGGUUGAGUGCUCUUUAAGAGAAUCUAACUAAUGCCUGAUUAUCUGAGGUGGAACAGUUUCAUCCCAAAACCAUCCCCCUUGCCCCCACCCCCGGCCCGUCUGUGGAAAAUUUUCUUCUGUGAAACCGGUCGCUGGUGCCAAAAAGGUUGAGGACCGCUGCUGUAAUUGACUCAUCUCUUAUUUGAGAAGUAUCUGUUGCCCUCAUUAGUUUUACUUACAAAAUUUGAUCACGAUCAUGUUGUAGUCUCUCAGAGCGCUCCAGAAACUGUCAGUGGUUUACAUAAAGUGGCCAUGGGUGUCCAGAGCACCCUGAAACUGUAUCAAAGUUGUACAUAAUUCCAAACCUUUUUUUUGUUGUUUGUUUGUUUUUUUGAGACAGGGUCUUGCUCUGUCGCCCAAGCUGGUGUGCAGUGGUGUGAUCUCGGCUCACUGCAGCCUCCACCUCCUGGGCUCAGGCGAAUCUCCCACCUCAGCUCCCCCGGUAGCUGGGAUUACAGGUGCAUGCCACCAUACAUGGCUAAUUUUUAAAUUUUUUGUAGAGAUGGUAUUUCACCAUGUCACCUAGGCUGGUCUUGAAAUCCUGGGCUCAAGCCAUUCACCGUUCGCCAGCCUUGGCCUCCCCAAGUGCUGGGAUUACAGGCAUGAGCCACGAUGCCCGGCCUCCAAACAUUUUAAAAUGAAAAGGCAUUCUCAUAUUCUCACUCUGUGCACUUUGCUGUUG